GUGGGGAAUAUUGGACAAUGGGCGAAAGCCUGAUCCAGCCAUGCCGCGUGAGUGAUGAAGGCCUUAGGGUUGUAAAGCUCUUUCAGUAGGGAAGAUAAUGACGGUACCUACAGAAGAAGCCCCGGCUAACUUCGUGCCAGCAGCCGCGUUAAUACGAAGGGGGCUAGCGUUGUUCGGAUUUACUGGGCGUAAAGCGCACGUAGGCGGAUUGGUCAGUUAGAGGUGAAAUCCUGGAGCUCAACUCCAGAACUGCCUUUAAUACUGCCAGUCUAGAGGACAGAAGAGGUGAGUGGAACUCCUAGUGUAGAGGUGGAAUUCGUAGAUAUUAGGAAGAACACCAGUGGCGAAGGCGGCUCACUGGUCUGGUACUGACGCUGAGGUGCGAAAGCGUGGGGAGCAAACAGGAUUAGAUACCCGAGUAGUCC
RNAcentral lists this ribosomal RNA (425 nucleotides) under uncultured bacterium. Its description in RNAcentral is "partial 16S ribosomal RNA". It matches the Rfam family "Bacterial small subunit ribosomal RNA", at positions 354 to 796 of the family's 1533-position model. The record is from RNAcentral.